AGAACGAACGCUGGCGGCAGGCCUAACACAUGCAAGUCGAACGCCCUCGCAAGAGGGAGUGGCAGACGGGUGAGUAACGCGUGGGAACAUACCCUUUGGUUCGGAAUAGCUCAGGGAAACUUGGAUUAAUACCGGAUACGCCUUGUGAGCGAUCAUGAGGGAAAGAUUUAUCGCCAAAGGAUUGGCCCGCGUCUGAUUAGCUAGUUGGCGGGGUAACGCCCACCAAGGCGACGAUCAGUAGCUGGUCUGAGAGGAUGAUCAGCCACAUUGGGACUGAGACACGGCCCAAACUCCUACGGGAGGCAGCAGUGGGGAAUAUUGGACAAUGGGCGCAAGCCUGAUCCAGCCAUGCCGCGUGAGUGAUGAAGGCCUUAGGGUUGUAAAGCUCUUUUACCUGGGAAGAUAAUGACGGUACCAGGAGAAUAAGCCCGGCUAACUUCGCGCCAGCAGCCGC
RNAcentral lists this ribosomal RNA (454 nucleotides) under uncultured bacterium. RNAcentral describes it as "SSU rRNA". It matches the Rfam family "Bacterial small subunit ribosomal RNA", at positions 26 to 518 of the family's 1533-position model. The record is from RNAcentral.